UAUAGUACCUUGCUGAUGUGA
RNAcentral lists this non-coding RNA (21 nucleotides) under Caenorhabditis elegans. The record is from RNAcentral. Lineage: Eukaryota; Metazoa; Nematoda; Chromadorea; Rhabditida; Rhabditidae.